CAAUAGCGUAUAUUAAAGUUGUUGCAGUUAAAAAGCUCGUAGUUGGAUUUGUGGCGUACGGUGUGUUCCGGGCACUUGUUGUCUGAGUAACCUGCUGUUGCCAUCCUUGGGUGGAACCUGUGUGGCAUUAGGUUGUCGUGCAGGGGAUGCCCAUCAUUUACUGUGAAAAAAUUAGAGUGUUCAAAGCAGGCUUAUGCCGUUGAAUAUAUUAGCAUGGAAUAAUGAGAUAGGACUUUUUUGCUAUUCUGUUGGUUUGCGCAAAGAGGUAAUGAUUAAUAGGGACAGUUGGGGAUAUUCGUAUUCCAUUGUCAGAGGUGAAGUUCUUGGAUUUUUGGAAGACGAACUACUGCGAAAGCAUUUACCAAGGAUGUUUUCAUUAA
This 380-nucleotide ribosomal RNA is filed under the name uncultured eukaryote. RNAcentral's name for it is "partial 18S ribosomal RNA". It matches the Rfam family "Eukaryotic small subunit ribosomal RNA", at positions 592 to 976 of the family's 1831-position model. The record is from RNAcentral.